This 1050-nucleotide ribosomal RNA is filed under the name Haemophilus influenzae. RNAcentral's name for it is "bacterial SSU rRNA". It matches the Rfam family "Bacterial small subunit ribosomal RNA", at positions 209 to 1254 of the family's 1533-position model. Lineage: Bacteria; Pseudomonadati; Pseudomonadota; Gammaproteobacteria; Pasteurellales; Pasteurellaceae. The record is from RNAcentral.
GGCCGCAUGCCAUAGGAUGAGCCCAAGUGGGAUUAGGUAGUUGGUGGGGUAAAUGCCUACCAAGCCUGCGAUCUCUAGCUGGUCUGAGAGGAUGACCAGCCACACUGGAACUGAGACACGGUCCAGACUCCUACGGGAGGCAGCAGUGGGGAAUAUUGCGCNAUGGGGGGAACCCUGACGCAGCCAUGCCGCGUGAAUGAAGAAGGCCUUCGGGUUGUAAAGUUCUUUCGGUAUUGAGGAAGGUUGAUGUGUUAAUAGCACAUCAAAUUGACGUUAAAUACAGAAGAAGCACCGGCUAACUCCGUGCCAGCAGCCGCGGUAAUACGGAGNGUGCGAGCGUUAAUCGGAAUAACUGGGCGUAAAGGGCACGCAGGCGGUUAUUUAAGUGAGGUGUGAAAGCCCCGGGCUUAACCUGGGNAUUGCAUUUCAGACUGGGUAACUAGAGUACUUUAGGGAGGGGUAGAAUUCCACGUGUAGCGGUGAAAUGCGUAGAGAUGUGGAGGAAUACCGAAGGCGAAGGCAGCCCCUUGGGAAUGUACUGACGCUCAUGUGCGAAAGCGUGGGGAGCAAACAGGAUUAGAUACCCUGGUAGUCCACGCUGUAAACGCUGUCGAUUUGGGGGUUGGGGUUUAACUCUGGCACCCGUAGCUAACGUGAUAAAUCGACCGCCUGGGGAGUACGGCCGCAAGGUUAAAACUCAAAUGAAUUGACGGGGGCCNGCACAAGCGGUGGAGCAUGUGGUUUAAUUCGAUGCAACGCGAAGAACCUUACCUACUCUUGACAUCCUAAGAAGAGCUCAGAGAUGAGCUUGUGCCUUCGGGAACUUAGAGACAGGUGCUGCAUGGCUGUCGUCAGCUCGUGUUGUGAAAUGUUGGGUUAAGUCCCGCAACGAGCGCAACCCUUAUCCUUUGUUGCCAGCGACUUGGUCGGGAACUCAAAGGAGACUGCCAGUGAUAAACUGGAGGAAGGUNGGGAUGACGUCAAGUCAUCAUGGCCCUUACGAGUAGGGCUACACACGUGCUACAAUGGCGUAUACAGAGGGAAGCGAAG